This 336-nucleotide unclassified non-coding RNA is filed under the name soil metagenome. Its description in RNAcentral is "partial contains 5.8S ribosomal RNA, internal transcribed spacer 2, and large subunit ribosomal RNA". The stretch from base 5 to 119 matches the Rfam family "5.8S ribosomal RNA", at positions 40 to 154 of the family's 154-position model. The record is from RNAcentral.
GAUGAGAACGUAGCGAAAUGCGAUAAGUAGUGUGAAUUGCAGAAUUCAGUGAAUCAUCGAAUCUUUGAACGCACAUUGCGCCCCUUGGUAUUCCAUGGGGCAUGCCUGUUCGAGCGUCAUUUGUACCUUCAAGCUCUGCUUGGUGUUGGGUGUUUGUCUCGCCUCUGCGUGUAGACUCGCCUUAAAACAAUUGGCAGCCGGCGUAUUGAUUUCGGAGCGCAGUACAUCUCGCGCUUUGCACUCAUAACGACGACGUCCAAAAGUACAUUUUUACACUCUUGACCUCGGAUCAGGUAGGGAUACCCGCUGAACUUAAGCAUAUCAAUAAGCGGAGGA